CCUACGGGAGGCAGCAGUAGGGAAUCUUCCACAAUGGGCGAAAGCCUGAUGGAGCAACGCCGCGUGGGUGAAGAAGGUCUUCGGAUCGUAAAACCCUGUUGUUAGAGAAGAAAGUGCGUGAGAGUAACUGUUCACGUUUCGACGGUAUCUAACCAGAAAGCCACGGCUAACUACGUGCCAGCAGCCGCGGUAAUACGUAGGUGGCAAGCGUUAUCCGGAUUUAUUGGGCGUAAAGGGAACGCAGGCGGUCUUAUAAGUCUGAUGUGAAAGCCUUCGGCUUAACCGGAGUAGUGCAUUAGAAACUGGGGAACUUGAGUGCAGAAGAGGAGAGUGGAACUCCAUGUGUAGCGGUGAAAUGCGUAGAUAUAUGGAAGAACACCAGUGGCGAAAGCGGCUCUCUGGUCUGUAACUGACGCUGAGGUUCGAAAGCGUGGGUAGCAAACAGGAUUAGAUACCCGGGUAGUC
This 465-nucleotide ribosomal RNA is filed under the name uncultured bacterium. RNAcentral's name for it is "partial 16S ribosomal RNA". It matches the Rfam family "Bacterial small subunit ribosomal RNA", at positions 338 to 795 of the family's 1533-position model. The record is from RNAcentral.